This is a non-coding RNA of Hydra vulgaris (swiftwater hydra), 895 nucleotides long. The record is from RefSeq and is a predicted model, not a curated record. NCBI's taxonomy places the organism in Eukaryota, Metazoa, Cnidaria, Hydrozoa, Anthoathecata, Hydridae.
AUUUUAGCAUUGUGUUGUUCUACUUUAAUUAUAUUGAAAAAAAAUGAAACUUUUAACACGGUAUUGCAUGCAAUAUUGCAUUGUUCUAUCUCCUUAAUGAGCAAACUUGAAAAUAUUAUCUUGUUGUAUCUCCAAUCAACCAAUCAUAUUACAAUUUCAAAGUUGUUCGGAAUAAUUUUAUCAGUUUUGUUGUUUUCAAAAUGGCAACUGCAAAUAUUGACCAAGAAAUGGAACCUGCCCUAAAUCAAAACGAAGAGCUGCUUGGCAUUACACCUUCUCGUCGGUAGCCCCAUGGUGGGGUUUCUAGGAAACGUAAAGCUGAUAGGAGUAGUUGGAAACAAAGUGUAAGAAAAAUCCAACGUCAGUCGGGUAAAGCUUAUAAAAUACGAAAUGAGAACAAAUGCCAAAAAGAUCUAUUGUUGCACUAAAAAGUUGCAGAAAUUGUAAAUUUAAAUGUUCUACCAAUAUAUCUGAGAUUGAGCGUCAAAUAAUAUUUGAUAACUUUUGGACCUUAGAUGAUGACGGAAAAAAACAUUUCUAUUCUAAAACUACUGAAAACCUGGAGAAAAAACGCUGUCGGACAGCUGCUGGUGACAAUUCAAGAAGAAAAACAUCUUAUUAUUAUAGCUUUUUUGUUUCUAAUACACAAUAUAGAGUUUGUAAAUCAUAUUAUCUUUCAACAUUGAAUAUUAGCAUCCAUAGAGUGUUUUACUUUCAUAAGUUUAAUAAAUCUUUAACUACUGGAACACCAUUGCAAUCAAAAUCAGGGAAACAUGUUAAAAAAAGGUUACUAGAAGAGUCUAAACAAGUUGUACGAGACCAUAUUAACCUUUUCCCAAGAAUUGAUGCUCAUUAUAGCAGGAAAAAGACACAUAAAGAAUACAUGGAAGGAUCA